GGGGGCGAUCUGUCCAGUUGAUACAGGAAACCUCUAUUUAAGGUAACCAAGAAGGAGUCAGGCAGGAAGUAAGUCUCUAACUCCUUUGGAGCAGCUUACUUCAUGGUGGUUUAGGCCUUUCUACCCUGGUUGAGGAACUUAAUAGUUCUAGACUCAAUCAGGGUUUGUGUUUGGAGCAUGCUGGAUUUAAUACUGGCUUAAACAUCUGAGAAGUGUGAAAGAAGAAGUUGAGUUACAUCAUUUGCUAAACAACCACAAUGUUGGACUUCAAAGUUCGAUACGGACAUUCUUUCUGUCUGAAUGGUUGUCGUGAAACAUCGGAAUAUUCUGUAAAACACCCUGAGUUCCUAGUCUAAUUGCUUCUUCUCAUGGACCUACUUCACCAAGCCCUACACCCUACCCCUGGUUGGAGUCUCGUCACCUGGUGUGCACUCUGGGUUAGAUUUAGUGUCCGAGAGUGUGUGUAACAGAGGGUAAAAAUAUUAAAUGAUGCAUAAAUGGGGACAGCGCCGACCGCCCACAGCAGAGGUAACCAUGCUGUGGCAUGCAGACCACCAAUGCAAGACUGUCACAUUGGUGACAUGACUUUGUGAUGACUCUGUGUUGCUGUGGGUCGCAUCUUCAAGAAAGUUACUAGAGAUCGCUGUGUUCCUGCAUACUAAAGGCAUCCAUCUUCAGUUGAUCAGCUUAUCAUCUGUCACAACCUUUCAUCGAGGGACUCUGUUUUAUCUCUAUUCAUUUUAUGGAACUUUUUGCUCUCAUUAUUAAAAUUAAUUUGUAUAGUGUA
This is a long non-coding RNA of Tachysurus fulvidraco (yellow catfish), 787 nucleotides long. RefSeq lists it as uncharacterized. Lineage: Eukaryota; Metazoa; Chordata; Actinopteri; Siluriformes; Bagridae. The record is from RefSeq and is a predicted model, not a curated record. The transcript is spliced from 4 exons.